UCCUAGUUAGCUCAGUUGGUAGAGCGCUCCACUGGAAAUGGAGAGGUCUCUGGAUCGAUAUCAGAACCAGGCG
Molecule: transfer RNA, 73 nt
Filed under: Ixodes scapularis (black-legged tick)
Lineage: Eukaryota; Metazoa; Arthropoda; Arachnida; Ixodida; Ixodidae
Rfam family: tRNA
About the family: Transfer RNA (tRNA) molecules are approximately 80 nucleotides in length. Their secondary structure includes four short double-helical elements and three loops (D, anti-codon, and T loops).
Source: Rfam by way of RNAcentral